Long non-coding RNA from Stegostoma tigrinum, 1707 nucleotides. RefSeq lists it as uncharacterized. The record is from RefSeq and is a predicted model, not a curated record. Lineage: Eukaryota; Metazoa; Chordata; Chondrichthyes; Orectolobiformes; Stegostomatidae. The transcript is spliced from 3 exons.
GCUUCCCUCUCUCUGUAGUGGGAAACAGUUCAAGCCUGAAGAAAGCAUGUUUACUUCCCUGAUGAGUUGCUCUAAGCUGCAGGUGUUAACUUGUACAUGAAAGACUUUAUAAGUAUGAACAAGUCAGUGCGUGCUUCCUGUAAACGAGUUAAAGUGCCCAGAGAAGGAAGAUGCAGAGCAACAAGUCCCGACAAGCCAAAACAGGCAUCUCAAUACGGUAUCUAAAACAUGGCUGCCGGAAGUCACAUGGCUGAUCCUUCUUGAUUCACUUUCAACCAGAAAAGCUUCUCCUGAAAUUCGAAAUGUGAUUAAAAUCAUUCUGGAAGAUAAAUCAAAAUGACUCACUUUCUUCGUGACCCUUUCUACGCAUGAGAAAAAGUCUUUGAUCAGCUCGUCUUGUACUUUGGGCUUGCAAGGCGACCCAAGGUUCCUAACAGUAGCCAGGAUGAAAGUCAGUAGGAGGCAAGCAGCCAGUGAUAAAAUGGUAAUAUUUAUGAGGGUUCUGUACGCACACUCACUCUCUCUUUCACCAAUAGUGGUUUGAACGCCUGAGGCCUCUUAUUUAUAGGCUGGGAUAGCAAGAGAUCCUCCCGGCUUGUCACAUUUUAGAGAGAUAGUGUGUUCAGACUCACCUUCCCCGGCCCACAUGCAGGAAUGUGGGGCAAUUGCUUAAAAAUUUCCAUUUCUUUCUUCUCCUUAAUUGCUGCAGGGUGUUGGGGAGAGUCCCUUUCACUUAUGUAGGUCACCUUUAGCUGGCCCUGUAACUCAAAAGGUGCUUGGCAUGGUUAAGAGUUUGAGCACAGUAAUCACUGACAGUACUCCUUGACAUAGUGUCAGAUAAUCAUUUUACUACCGAAAGAGAAGUGAAAGUUAUGUCAAAUCGUAGUUGCUAACUAUAUCUGCAGGUAAUUGGCAAGAUCUUUAUUUUGAUACUGGCUACAGAUAUCAGUUAACAAGUUUGGCGUGAUUUGUUUUCAACGUAAUCUGUUUUAUCUCUUAUCAAUGUGAUGUUUGUUUAGGCUGUUAUCUAUCCUAAUCGGUAUAACAUUGAAUUUCUAGAGGUGUUCUUUUCGAAUUCCAGAGAAUAAUUAAAGAAUUGUGAUUUUGCGUUUGAUGAUGUGUGGUUCCUAUAUGGAAUGAACUGCCAGAGGAAGUGAUAGAUGCAGGCACAGUUACAACAUUUAAAAGACAUUUGGGCAGGUACAUGAAUAGGAAAGGUUUAGAGGGAUAGGCACCAAAUGGAACUAGUUUAAUUUGGCAAACCUGGCCAGCAUGGACAAAUUUGACAAAAGGGUCUGUUUCUCUGAUAAAUGACUGUAUGACUCUAUGUUAUUCCUGUGACUUCCAAAUCUGCUUAAUAUAAGCUUUCUUGCCAAUACCUUCUAACAGGUACAAUCAACUAAAGAGCAGACCUUGACAUUAGUGACAUGAGAUGCUUAGAAGAUUAAAUUGUUGUAUAAAAUUUUCAAUUAGGCUUUUAGUCAUUGAAACAAGUACCAUAGGAUUGUGAGAUAACAAGUUGCAGACCUGGAUGAACAUAGCAGGCCUAGCAACAUCAGAGGCGCAGAAGCUGACGUUUCGGGUCUAGACUCUUCUUUAGAAAUGGGAGGAGGGCAAGUGCAUUCUGAAAUAAGUAGAGAGAGGCGGGGAGGCGAUGGGAUUUUGAAGCUUGUGAAGUCCCCAUUGAUACCAAUGGGCUGUAGGGUU